CCUACGGGAGGCAGCAGUGGGGCAUAUUGCACAAUGGGGGAAACCCUGAUGCAGCGACGCCGCGUGAGUGAAGAAGUAGUUCGUUAUGUAAAGCUCUAUCAGCAGGGAAGAAAAUGACGGUACCUGAGUAAGAAGCCCAGGCUAACUACGUGCCAGCAGCCGCGGUCAUACGUAGGGGGCAAGCGUUAUCCGGAUUUACUGGGUGUAAAGGGAGCGUAGACGGCAGUGCAAGUCUGGAGUGAAAGGCGGGGGCUCAACCCCCGGACUGCUCUGGAAACUGUACGGCUGGAGUGCAGGAGAGGUAAGUGGAAUUCCUAGUGUAGCGGUGAAAUGCGUAGAUAUCAGGAGGAACACCGGUGGCGAAGGCGGCCUGCUGGACUGCGACUGACGUUGAGGCCCGAAAGCGUGGGGAGCAAACAGGAUUAGAUACCCGAGUAGUC
Molecule: ribosomal RNA, 440 nt
Filed under: uncultured bacterium
Lineage: Bacteria
Description: partial 16S ribosomal RNA
Rfam family: Bacterial small subunit ribosomal RNA
Source: RNAcentral